GUGUCAGCAGCCGCGGUAAUACGGAGGACCCGAGCGUUAUCCGGAUUCAUUGGGUUUAAAGGGUGCGCAGGCGGCCCGGUCAGUCAGCGGUGAAAUGCCCGCGCUUCACGCGGGAGCUGCCGUUGAUACUGCCGGGCUAGAAUCUCAGCGAGGCGGGCGGAAUGCGCGGUGUAGCGGUGAAAUGCAUAGAUAUCGCGCAGAACGCCGAUUGGGGAGCCAGCUCGCCAGCUGGGUAUUGACGCUGAGGCACGAAAGCGUGGGGAUCGAACAGGAUUAGAUACCCUUGUAGUCC
This 292-nucleotide ribosomal RNA is filed under the name uncultured bacterium. RNAcentral describes it as "partial 16S ribosomal RNA". It matches the Rfam family "Bacterial small subunit ribosomal RNA", at positions 505 to 796 of the family's 1533-position model. The record is from RNAcentral.